CUGGACAGACCGCCAACUUAUGAGGAGGCCGAUGUGGAGUCGCAUCUUGUUAACCUAUGUCAGGAGGUUUUACAGUUGUAUAUUGAAACUUCUAACCAUGGACAGACAUCUGAAUCUUCUGCCAGUGGGCAAGUGCGAUGGUUAAUACCUUUAGGUUCUGGGAAACGGAGGGAAUUGGCUGCACGAGCACCUCUUAUUGUGGCAACCCUCCAGGCCAUCUGUACCUUAGAAGAGACCUCCUUCGAGAAGAACCUAGCUUGUUUCUUUCCCCUACUUUCAAGCUUGAUAAGUUGUGAACAUGGGUCAAAUGAGAUUCAGGUAGCACUCAGUGACAUGCUAGAUGCAUCGGUGGGCCCGAUUUUGCUUCGGAC
Molecule: long non-coding RNA, 371 nt
Filed under: Citrus sinensis (sweet orange)
Lineage: Eukaryota; Viridiplantae; Streptophyta; Magnoliopsida; Sapindales; Rutaceae
Description: long non-coding RNA (CSIN_LNC004087)
Source: RNAcentral